GUCCAGACUCCUAAGGGAGGCAGCAGUCGGGGCUCUUGCGCAAUGGCGGCAACUCUGACGCCGUGACGCCGCGUGCAGGAAGAAGGUUUUCGGAUUGUAACCUGCUUUAGACAGGGAAGAAACAAGACCGUCCCUGUAGAAUAAGCUCCGGCUAACUACGUGCCAGCAGCCGCGGUAAUACGUAGGUGGCAAGCGUUGUUCGGAAUAACUGGGCGUAAAGGAUGCGUAGGCGGUUAAACAAGUUAUAUGUUAAAUAUAUAGGCUUAACCUGCAGAAAGCAUAUAAAACUGUUUAACUAGAGUGCAGGAGAGGUAAGUGGAAUUCCUAGUGUAGCGGUGAAAUGCGUAGAGAUUAGGAAGAACACCAGUGGCGAAGGCGACUUACUGGACUGUAACUGACGCUGAGGCAUGAGAGCAUGGUGAGCAAACAGGAUUAGAUACCCCAGUAA
RNAcentral lists this ribosomal RNA (448 nucleotides) under uncultured bacterium. RNAcentral's name for it is "bacterial SSU rRNA". It matches the Rfam family "Bacterial small subunit ribosomal RNA", at positions 329 to 793 of the family's 1533-position model. The record is from RNAcentral.